Molecule: transfer RNA, 72 nt
Filed under: Candidatus Omnitrophota bacterium
Lineage: Bacteria; Pseudomonadati; Candidatus Omnitrophota
Description: tRNA-Gln
Rfam family: tRNA
About the family: Transfer RNA (tRNA) molecules are approximately 80 nucleotides in length.
Source: RNAcentral
UGCCCGGUAGUGUAAUUGGCAACAUGACAGACUCUGGAUCUGUUGUUUCUGGUUCGAGUCCAGACCGGGCAG